This 492-nucleotide ribosomal RNA is filed under the name uncultured bacterium. RNAcentral's name for it is "partial 16S ribosomal RNA". It matches the Rfam family "Bacterial small subunit ribosomal RNA", at positions 29 to 507 of the family's 1533-position model. The record is from RNAcentral.
AGUGAACGCUGGCGGUAGGCCUAACACAUGCAAGUCGAACGGCAGCACAGUAAGAGCUUGCUCUUACGGGUGGCGCGUGGCGGACGGGUGCGGAAUACAUCGGAAUCUACUUUUUCGUGGGGGAUAACGUAGGGAAACUUACGCUAAUACCGCAUACGACCUACGGGUGAAAGCAGGGGAUCUUCGGACCUUGCGCGAUUGAAUGAGCCGAUGUCGGAUUAGCUAGUUGGCGGGGUAAAGGCCCACAAAGGCGACGAUCCGUAGCGGGUCUGAGAGGAUGAGCAGCCACACUGGAACUGAGACACGGUCCAGACUCCUGCGGGAGGCAGCAGUGGGGAAUAUUGGACAAUGGGCGCAAGCCUGAUCCAGCCAUACCGCGUGGGUGAAGAAGGCCUUCGGGUUGUAAAGCCCUUUUGUUGGGAAAGAAAAGCAGCAGGUUAAUACCCCGCUGUUCCGACGGUACCCAAAGAAUAAGCACCGGCUAACUUCGUG